RNAcentral lists this small RNA (191 nucleotides) under Acidobacteriota bacterium. Its description in RNAcentral is "Acidobacteria bacterium 6S RNA". It matches the Rfam family "6S / SsrS RNA". Rfam says of the family: E. coli 6S RNA was the first non coding RNA to be sequenced, but its function was unknown until recently. Lineage: Bacteria; Pseudomonadati; Acidobacteriota. The record is from RNAcentral.
GCCGGCCUACAAGGUUGGUGAUGGUGGUAACCGAUUUUUGAACCAACACCGAAUGAACGGGAGCCUGACUCGAAAAUACGAUCCGGUGUGCAAUGUUCCGCCAUGCGGAAAUGCCUAAUGGGUCUCGGCGGGUUCCCACCGUUUAACGACGGGUUCAUUCUCGGCCCUCCACACGGCUUAGUGGGUCGGCU